RNAcentral lists this transfer RNA (59 nucleotides) under Cnemaspis grismeri. RNAcentral's name for it is "partial tRNA-Ala". The record is from RNAcentral. Lineage: Eukaryota; Metazoa; Chordata; Lepidosauria; Squamata; Gekkonidae.
AUUAAAGUGUCUGGGUUGCAAUCAGGUGAUGUUGAUUAGAGUUCUGCAGGUCUUGGGAC